RNAcentral lists this ribosomal RNA (491 nucleotides) under uncultured bacterium. Its description in RNAcentral is "partial 16S ribosomal RNA". It matches the Rfam family "Bacterial small subunit ribosomal RNA", at positions 29 to 506 of the family's 1533-position model. The record is from RNAcentral.
AGUGAACGCUGGCGGUAGGCCUAACACAUGCAAGUCGAACGACAGCACAGUAAGAGCUUGCUCUUACGGGUGGCGAGUGGCGGACGGGUAAGGAAUACAUCGCAAUCUACUUUUUCGUGGGGGCUAACGGAGGGCAGCUUACACUACUACCGCAUACGUCCUACGGGUGGAAGCAGGGGGUCAUCCGACCUUGCGGGAACGAAUGAGCCGAUGUCGGUUUCGCUAGUUGGCGGGGUAAAGGCCCGCCAAGGCAACGAACCGUAGCUGGUCUGCGAGGAUGGUCAGCCACACGGGACUUGAGACCCGGCCCAGACCCCUACGGGAGGCAGAGGUGGGAAAUAUCGGCCAAUGGGCGCAAGCCUGCUCCAGCCAGACGGCGGGGGUGAAGAAGGCCUCCGGGUUGUAAAGUCCUUUUGUUGGGAAAGAAAAGCAUCUGGGUAACUCCGCGCUGUUCUGACGGUACCCAUAGAAUAGGCACCGGCAAAUUCCUU